Molecule: ribosomal RNA, 490 nt
Filed under: uncultured bacterium
Lineage: Bacteria
Description: bacterial SSU rRNA
Rfam family: Bacterial small subunit ribosomal RNA
Source: RNAcentral
AGUGAACGCUGGCGGCAGGCCUAACACAUGCAAGUCGAACGGCAGCACAGGAGAGCUUGCUCUCUGGGUGGCGAGUGGCGGACGGGUGAGGAAUACAUCGGAAUCUGCCCUGUCGUGGGGGAUAACGUAGGGAAACUUACGCUAAUACCGCAUACGACCUUCGGGUGAAAGAGGGGGAUCGCAAGACCUCUCGCGAUUGGAUGAGCCGAUGUCGGAUUAGCUAGUUGGCGGGGUAAAGGCCCACCAAGGCGACGAUCCGUAGCUGGUCCGAGAGGAUGAUCAGCCACACUGGAACUGAGACACGGUCCAGACUCCUACGGGAGGCAGCAGUGGGGAAUAUUGGACAAUGGGCGCAAGCCUGAUCCAGCCAUGCCGCGUGAGUGAAGAAGGCCUUCGGGUUGUAAAGCUCUUUUGUCCGGAAAGAAAAGCAUUCGGUUAAUAACCGGAUGUCAUGACGGUACCGGAAGAAUAAGCACCGGCUAACUUCGUG